GAUGAACGCUGACAGAAUGCUUAACACAUGCAAGUCUUUGGCGAAGCUGUGCUUGCACAGCCUAGCCAAGGCGGACGGGUGAGUAACGCGUAAGGAACUUGCCCUGCAGUCAGGGAUAACAGACGGAAACGACUGAUAAGACCUGGUAAAGUCAGGCGGACUCAUGUCCAGCCUGAUGAAAAGAGAUGCUGCAGGAGAGCCUUGCGUCCUAUUAGCUUGUUGGUGGGGUAACGGCCCACCAAGGCGAUGAUAGGUAGCCGGCCUGAGAGGGUGGACGGCCACAAGGGGACUGAGAUACGGCCCUUACUCCUACGGGAGGCAGCAGUGGGGAAUAUUGGACAAUUGGGGCAACCCUGAUCCAGCAAUUCUGUGUGCACGAUGAAGGUUUUCGGAUUGUAAAGUGCUUUCAGCAGGGAAGAAAAAAAUGACGGUACCUGCAGAAGAAGCGACGGCUAAAUACGUG
RNAcentral lists this ribosomal RNA (463 nucleotides) under uncultured bacterium. Its description in RNAcentral is "partial 16S ribosomal RNA". It matches the Rfam family "Bacterial small subunit ribosomal RNA", at positions 28 to 507 of the family's 1533-position model. The record is from RNAcentral.